AUAGGCGGAGGAAAAGAAACCAACAGGGAUUGCCCUAGUAACGGCGAGUGAAGCGGCAACAGCUCAAAUUUGAAAUCUGGCGUCUUUGGCGUCCGAGUUGUAAUUUGCAGAGGGCGCUUUGGCAUUGGCAGCGGUCCAAGUUCCUUGGAACAGGACGUCACAGAGGGUGAGAAUCCCGUACGUGGUCGCUAGCCUUUACCGUGUAAAGCCCCUUCGACGAGUCGAGUUGUUUGGGAAUGCAGCUCUAAAUGGGAGGUAAAUUUCUUCUAAAGCUAAAUACUGGCCAGAGACCGAUAGCGCACAAGUAGAGUGAUCGAAAGAUGAAAAGCACUUUGGAAAGAGAGUUAAAAAGCACGUGAAAUUGUUGAAAGGGAAGCGCUUGCAGCCAGACUUGCCUGUAGUUGCUCAUCCGGGUUUUUACCCGGUGCACUCUUCUACGGGCAGGCCAGCAUCAGUUUGGGCGGUUGGAUAAAGGUCUCUGUCAUGUACCUCCUCUCGGGGAGAACUUAUAGGGGAGACGACAUGCAACCAGCCCGGACUGAGGUCCGCGCAUCUGCUAGGAUGCUGGCGUAAUGGCUGUAAGCGGCCCGUCUUGAAACACGGACCAAGGAGUCUAACAUCUAUGCGAGUGUUUGGGUGUCAAGCCCGAGCGCGUAAUGAAAGUGAACGGAGGUGGGAACCUUUCGGGGUGCACCAUCGACCGAUCCUGAUGUCUUCGGAUGGAUUUGAGUAAGAGCAUAGCUGUUGGGACCCGAAAGAUGGUGAACUAUGCUUGAAUAGGGUGAAGCCAGAGGAAACUCUGGUGGAGGCUCGCAGCGGUUCUGACGUGCAAAUCGAUCGUCAAAUUUGGGCAUAGGGGCGAAAGACUAAUCGAACUAUCUAGUAGCUGGUUCCUGCCGAAGUU
RNAcentral lists this ribosomal RNA (904 nucleotides) under Epicoccum latusicollum. RNAcentral's name for it is "partial large subunit ribosomal RNA". It matches the Rfam family "Eukaryotic large subunit ribosomal RNA", at positions 46 to 968 of the family's 3401-position model. Lineage: Eukaryota; Fungi; Ascomycota; Dothideomycetes; Pleosporales; Didymellaceae. The record is from RNAcentral.